Molecule: small nuclear RNA, 300 nt
Filed under: Nannospalax galili (Upper Galilee mountains blind mole rat)
Lineage: Eukaryota; Metazoa; Chordata; Mammalia; Rodentia; Spalacidae
Description: 7SK RNA (ENSNGAG00000007830.1)
Rfam family: 7SK RNA
About the family: 7SK was discovered as an abundant small nuclear RNA in the mid-70s but a possible function has only recently been suggested. Two independent studies have found that 7SK RNA binds the CDK9/cyclin T complex (known as elongation factor P-TEFb). P-TEFb activates transcription by phosphorylating the C-terminal domain of RNA polymerase II.
Source: Rfam by way of RNAcentral
ACAUGUGAAGGAAUCUGACUGUGACAUCCAUCACCCCAUUGAUCUACAAGACUGAUCCAGAUAAUCUGGCUGGCUAGGCAGGCUUCCCAUUCCUCCCCCAACACUCUACGUACAUCCCUCCCAAAGGUGUUCACUCGGUUGAAGAGGAUGGCCUUCCUGGAUAGAGGAGGACCAGUCUUAGAUCAAGGGUGUAGGAGUAGCUGCGCUCUCCUGCUAGAAUGUAAAAUGAGCUCUCUAGAUUCCCUAACUUAGCUAUUAUGAUGACUGCAGUGAUGUACACAAGUGUGUGGGUAUCCCUAC